UUCAGUAGGUGAACCUGCGGAAGGAUCAUUCGCACGAAUCAUCGUCCACCCAAUCCCAGCAAGUGCCGUUGGUUGCUCCAGCUGCACUCUUCCCGCCGCCUCGUGCGGCCCCCGUCUCGAUCCUUUUUCAGCCGCGCUCGCCGCGGUGGAUUGUGGAGUCUGACUCUGCUUUUAUCUUGUCUCUUGCAGCGGUGGAUGCCUUGGCUCGAGUAUCUAUGAAGGAUGCAGCGAACUGCGAUACGCACAGUGAUGUGCGGAAUUCCGUGAAUCUGUAGACCUCUGAACGCAUCUAGCACCACGGGUUCUCCCGAGGUUCGUCUGGUUCGGUGUCUCUCUUCUUUAGUCACACCCGCCCCGCGCUGGUGUGUGCGAUCGCCUGCCACUGCUCCGCGAAGGGCGGUGGCGGGCCUCAGACCUCAACCAAGCUCUGGCGAGCGUCGCGUCAUGCGGUGUAAAUUGCUACGUCCGCGUCCUGCGACCCUCGCCCGCCCGCUUGGCCCGGUAUCCUGGCGCCCCCCGGGGAGCCAGGACCCCCCACACAGACCCGAGCUCAGAUUGGAUUACCCGCUGAAUUUAAGCAUAUCAA
This 586-nucleotide ribosomal RNA is filed under the name uncultured eukaryote. RNAcentral's name for it is "eukaryotic LSU rRNA". The stretch from base 181 to 332 matches the Rfam family "5.8S ribosomal RNA". The record is from RNAcentral.